GAGGGAAGGGUUUUGAAUAGCCUGCAUGAACGUUGUCGUAUCUCAGUUAAAUAUGUCAAUUGCGAAUUUUAACACAUUGUAGUUUUGAUGUAUAACAACAUGUGCAUCAUUUAAUAGUUUGAAAGUGUUUUAAGUUGAUUAGAUAUAUAAAAUGCAUUAGUUAUCUCGUUUGAAAUGUUUUACAUUGUCAUUUCGGGGCCUUUUAUAGCUGACUAUGCGGUAUUGGAUUUCCUCAUUGUUGAAGGCUGUACGGUUAUAGUUGUUCAUUUUUGUGUCAUUUUU
Molecule: long non-coding RNA, 282 nt
Filed under: Mytilus galloprovincialis (Mediterranean mussel)
Lineage: Eukaryota; Metazoa; Mollusca; Bivalvia; Mytilida; Mytilidae
Source: RNAcentral